RNAcentral lists this ribosomal RNA (253 nucleotides) under uncultured bacterium. RNAcentral's name for it is "partial 16S ribosomal RNA". It matches the Rfam family "Bacterial small subunit ribosomal RNA", at positions 524 to 776 of the family's 1533-position model. The record is from RNAcentral.
UACGUAGGGGGCAAGCGUUGUCCGGAUUUAUUGGGCGUAAAGAGCGUGUAGGCGGCCGUACAGGUCAGCUGUGAAAACUCGAGGCUCAACCUCGAGACGUCGGUUGAAACCGUACGGCUAGAGUCCGGAAGAGGAGAGUGGAAUUCCCGGUGUAGCAGUGAAAUGCGCAGAUAUCGGGAAGAACACCCGUGGCUAAGGCGGCUCUCUAGUACGGUACUGACGCUGAGACGCGAAAGCGUGGGGAGCGAACAGG